RNAcentral lists this ribosomal RNA (323 nucleotides) under Periclimenes rectirostris. RNAcentral describes it as "partial 12S ribosomal RNA". It matches the Rfam family "Microsporidia small subunit ribosomal RNA", at positions 788 to 1212 of the family's 1311-position model. Lineage: Eukaryota; Metazoa; Arthropoda; Malacostraca; Decapoda; Palaemonidae. The record is from RNAcentral.
UGGCGGUAUUUAAGUCCAGUUAGAGGAACCUGCUUCUUAAAACGACACACCACGAAGUAUCUUAUUUUUCUUUGUUUACAGCUUGUAUACCUCCAUUAUUAGGUGUAGUUAAGAAACAUUUACUUUAAUAUAGCAGUUAUUUAUAGUAUAUUAGGUCAAGGUGCAGCCUAUGGGAAAAUUGAUUGUGGGUUACAUUUUCAUUUUAGAUUCGGGAAAGAAAUUGAAAUUUUUUUUAAAGUUGGAUUUAAUUGUAAUUUUUAUUUAAUAUGUAAAAUUGAUAUUGGCUCUUAAAUAUGUACACAUCGCCCGUCGCUCGCGGGAAA